Molecule: ribosomal RNA, 811 nt
Filed under: Morganella morganii
Lineage: Bacteria; Pseudomonadati; Pseudomonadota; Gammaproteobacteria; Enterobacterales; Morganellaceae
Description: partial 23S ribosomal RNA
Rfam family: Bacterial large subunit ribosomal RNA
Source: RNAcentral
UGUUAUCCUGUCUGAAUAUGGGGGGACCAUCCUCCAAGGCUAAAUACUCCUGACUGACCGAUAGUGAACCAGUACCGUGAGGGAAAGGCGAAAAGAACCCCGGCGAGGGGAGUGAAAAAGAACCUGAAACCGUGUACGUACAAGCAGUGGGAGCACCUUUAUGGUGUGACUGCGUACCUUUUGUAUAAUGGGUCAGCGACUUAUAUUCUGUAGCAAGGUUAACCGAAUAGGGGAGCCGCAGGGAAACCGAGUCUUAACUGGGCGUCUUAGUUGCAGGGUAUAGACCCGAAACCCGGUGAUCUAGCCAUGGGCAGGUUGAAGGUUGGGUAACACUAACUGGAGGACCGAACCGACUAAUGUUGAAAAAUUAGCGGAUGACUUGUGGCUGGGGGUGAAAGGCCAAUCAAACCGGGAGAUAGCUGGUUCUCCCCGAAAGCUAUUUAGGUAGCGCCUCGUGAAUUCAUCUCCGGGGGUAGAGCACUGUUUCGGCUAGGGGGUCAUCCCGACUUACCAACCCGAUGCAAACUGCGAAUACCGGAGAAUGUUAUCACGGGAGACACACGGCGGGUGCUAACGUUCGUCGUGAAGAGGGAAACAACCCAGACCGCCGGCUAAGGUCCCAAAGUCAUAAUUAAGUGGGAAACGAAGUGGGAAGGCUCAGACAGCCAGGAUGUUGGCUUAGAAGCAGCCAUCAUUUAAAGAAAGCGUAAUAGCUCACUGGUCGAGUCGGCCUGCGCGGAAGAUGUAACGGGGCUAAAUUAUGCACCGAAGCCGCGGCAGCGAUAUGUAAAUAUUGUUGGGUAGGGGAGCG